UACGUAGGGUGCAAGCGUUAAUCGGAAUUACUGGGCGUAAAGCGUGCGCAGGCGGUGAUGUAAGACAGGUGUGAAAUCCCCGGGCUUAACCUGGGAACUGCAUUUGUGACUGCAUCGCUGGAGUGCGGCAGAGGGGGAUGGAAUUCCGCGUGUAGCAGUGAAAUGCGUAGAUAUGCGGAGGAUCACCGAUGGCGAAGGCAAUCCCCUGGGCCUGCACUGACGCUCAUGCACGAAAGCGUGGGGAGCAAACAGG
RNAcentral lists this ribosomal RNA (253 nucleotides) under uncultured bacterium. Its description in RNAcentral is "partial 16S ribosomal RNA". It matches the Rfam family "Bacterial small subunit ribosomal RNA", at positions 524 to 776 of the family's 1533-position model. The record is from RNAcentral.